This 149-nucleotide unclassified non-coding RNA is filed under the name uncultured Stagonospora. RNAcentral's name for it is "sequence contains ITS2". Lineage: Eukaryota; Fungi; Ascomycota; Dothideomycetes; Pleosporales; Pleosporaceae. The record is from RNAcentral.
GUACCCUCAAGCUUUGCUUGGUGUUGGGCGUUUUGUCUUUUUAUCAAGACUCGCCUUAAAGUAAUUGGCAGCCAGUGUUUUGGUAGUAAGCGCAGCACAUUUUGCGUCUUAGUUCUUUAACAGCGGCAUCCAUAAAGCCUCUUUCUCAC